AUCCAGUCCAGACCCAUACAUCAAUCAUCAGGAUCCUGUCACUAUCACUGUGAAAGAGAGACCUGUGGCUGUUCUGACCCUCCAACCCAUCUGGCCCCAGAUAUUCAGUGGGGAGACUGUCACUCUCAGUUGUGACAUUCAAGGGGGAGAAGAGAUUGAGUAUGUUUUUUAUAACAGUGGGAAGUCGGUCUUCAUCAAAACAGAGCCUGAGUACAGAAUCAGUCCUGCAAAGAAUGGUCUAUAUACCUGUGAAGGUCUUCAGAAAAGAAAUGGCUUAAAACACUCCCAGACAAGUAAUGCUAUACAAUUGACAGUGUUAGAUAAACCCCAAGCUGUCCUGAGUGUCUCUCCUCAGUGGCUGAACCCUGGAGACUCAGUUACUCUGAGCUGUUGGGUUAAAGAGUCAUCUACAGGCUGGAGGUUCUUCUGGUACCAAACUGUUCCCUACACAGCUGGGUUACUCUCCCUGUCGACAGGUCCUACUCUGUAGAGCUUCUAUCUGGCAGUGGGACUAGUGAAGACUCCUACACUCUGAUCCCUGCUGGUCCUAGUCACACAG
This is a non-coding RNA of Salvelinus sp. IW2-2015, 559 nucleotides long. NCBI's taxonomy places the organism in Eukaryota, Metazoa, Chordata, Actinopteri, Salmoniformes, Salmonidae. The record is from RefSeq and is a predicted model, not a curated record.